RNAcentral lists this transfer RNA (71 nucleotides) under Bos taurus (domestic cattle). It matches the Rfam family "tRNA". Rfam says of the family: Transfer RNA (tRNA) molecules are approximately 80 nucleotides in length. Their secondary structure includes four short double-helical elements and three loops (D, anti-codon, and T loops). RNAcentral also lists the same sequence under 2 other names. Lineage: Eukaryota; Metazoa; Chordata; Mammalia; Artiodactyla; Bovidae. The record is from Rfam by way of RNAcentral.
UCCUGGUGGCUCAGAGGUUAAAGCAUCUGCCUGCGAUGCUGGAGACCUGGGUUCUAUCCCUGGAUCAGGAA